AGAGUUUGAUCCUGGCUCAGGAUGAACGCUGGCGGCGUGCCUAAUACAUGCAAGUCGAACGCACCAUUUCGGUGGUGAGUGGCGAACGGGUGAGUAAAAGAUAAGUAACCUGCCCUAGGCAGGGGGAUAACGACCGGAAACGGACGCUAAAACCGCAUAGGCUGGGAGAUCGCAUGAGAAUCCAGUUAAAUGUCCUGAAAGGGACAGGCAAAGGAGGGACUUAUCACGCAUUAGCUAGUUGGUGGGCAACGGCCUACCAAGGCGACGAUGCGUAGCCGGCCUGAGAGGCGGACGGCCACACUGGGACUGAGACACGGCCCAGACUCCUACGGGAGGCAGCAGUAGGGAAUUUUCGGCAAUGGGCGAAAGCCUGACCGAGCAACGCCGCGUGAACGAAGAAGGUCUUCGGAUUGUAAAGUUCUGUUAUAGAGGAAGAACGGUGUACGUAGGAAAUGACGUACAAGUGACGGUACUCUGUGAGGAAGCCACGGCUAACUACGUGCCAGCAGCCGCGGUAAUACGUAGGUGGCGAGCGUUAUCCGGAAUCAUUGGGCGUAAAGAGGGAGCAGGCGGCCUGGAGGGUCUAUUGUUAAAAGGCAGUGGCUUAACCAUUGCAAGGCGAAGAAACCGGCAGGCUAGAGUUCUAAAGAGGAUCGUGGAAUUCCAUGUGUAGCGGUGAAAUGCGUAGAUAUAUGGAGGAACACCAGUGGCGAAGGCGACGAUCUGGGAAGAAACAGACGCUGAGUCCCGAAAGCGUGGGGAGCAAAUAGGAUUAGAUACCCUAGUAGUCCACGCCGUAAACGAUGAGUACUAAGUGUUGGGGGUCAAACCUCAGUGCUGUAGUUAACGCAAUAAGUACUCCGCCUGAGUAGUACGUUCGCAAGAAUGAAACUCAAAGGAAUUGACGGGGGCCCGCACAAGCGGUGGAGCAUGUGGUUUAAUUCGAAGCAACGCGAAGAACCUUACCAGGUCUUGACAUCGAUCUAAAGGCCCUAGAGAUAGGGAGAUAGUUAUAGAGAAGACAGGUGGUGCAUGGUUGUCGUCAGCUCGUGUCGUGAGAUGUUGGGUUAAGUCCCGCAACGAGCGCAACCCUUGUCGUUAGUUACCAGCAGUAAGAUGGGGACUCUAACGAGACCGCCGGUGAGAAGCCGGAGGAAGACGGGAUGACGUCAAAUCAUCAUGCCCCUUAUGACCUGGGCGACACACGUGCUACAAUGGUCGGUACAGAGAGAAGCGAAGCUGUGAAGUGGAGCGAACCUCAAAAAGCCGAUCGUAGUCCGGAUUGCAGUCUGCAACUCGACUGCAUGAAGCUGGAAUCGCUAGUAAUCGCAAGUCAGCCAUAUUGCGGUGAAUACGUUCUCGGCCUUGUACACACCGCCCGUCACACCAUGAGAGUCGGAACACCCGAAGUCGUAGUCUAACCGCAAGGAGGACGCCGCCGAAGGUGGGGUUGAUGAUUAGGGUUAAGUCGUAACAAGGUAGCCGUAUCGGAAGGUGCGGCUG
This 1503-nucleotide ribosomal RNA is filed under the name gut metagenome. RNAcentral's name for it is "bacterial SSU rRNA". It matches the Rfam family "Bacterial small subunit ribosomal RNA". The record is from RNAcentral.